This 328-nucleotide long non-coding RNA is filed under the name Ananas comosus (pineapple). RNAcentral's name for it is "long non-coding RNA (ACOM_LNC002158)". The record is from RNAcentral. Lineage: Eukaryota; Viridiplantae; Streptophyta; Magnoliopsida; Poales; Bromeliaceae.
UUUUUAUUUACCAUAUAUAUAUAUAUAUAUAUAUAUAUGAGUUGGACUGGGCUACUAUUAGUAGCAAAAUCCCAUUGUUGCUACCAGUUUUUUAGCCUUUGGAUCAACUCUUUUCAUUAUUUCUAACCAUUGGAUUAAAUACUAUAACUCAGUAGGGACCACUCAACCCUAGGGGGACCACUCAACUCUAACCGACUAAUAUCAUCCUGACCCUACAAUUUUUCAUCCAAGGGUUAAAAACUUGGUAGCAAAAAGAGCGUUUUACUAUUAAUAGUAUUACAGCCUAAUUCUAUAUAUAUAUAUAUAUAUAUAUAUAUAUAUAUAUACA